Molecule: non-coding RNA, 109 nt
Organism: Podarcis lilfordi (Lilford's wall lizard)
Lineage: Eukaryota; Metazoa; Chordata; Lepidosauria; Squamata; Lacertidae
Source: the annotation of a GenBank genome assembly
UUCGCUUCUUGGCCUUUUGGCUAAGAUCAAGUGUAGAUAUAAAACUUCAGAAUCUUGAACUGUUGUUGCUACUGCAUUUGAGUAUAAUUUUAUUUACAGCCAAACUAAA